GCUGCCUGCAAACUCAGGUAGCUCUUCAGACUCGUGAAGAGGUCUUGAACAUUCUUGAGAAACACCAACAAAAUGUGUAGUCCUCUGUGAAGAAGCUGGUCUGAAAGAAAAAUACACCUGGGACUAGCAAUAAGAAGGCAACUGGAACCUUGUAGAAACAGAGAACCAGAAAAGCUGAGAAAAACAGAGCCGAUACAAGACAAGGGCUAGACAGGGAUGAGCUGGGACGUCCGUCUAAGAGACAUGAGAUUUACAAUGACAGGUUUCUCAAGCUGAAAACGAAGAGGGAGACAGUGUGGCAGCAGAAAAGACAACAGGGAUACAACUGAGACAACCAGGAAGGACAUCCUUCCAGAGCACGUACCAGAAAAGGAUGUUGCUGCUUCUACUGUCUCCACUCCUGUCCUCAGGGCAAGCAGCCUGAAGCAAUGCCUAGAGCAAGGGAGGAGCAAAGCUGGAAGCCCAGGCGUUCUCCACCUGUCCAGAAUGAUUUCGUGUGACCGUCAGCUAUUUUUAUUUUUACUUCAUGUGCCAUAAAAAUAAUGAUAUUUUGAGAAAUUCCACAGAUAAAGGGCACUGAGGGAUAAAGGAUGUAGCUUUGGAGCCUGAUGGGUUAUGGGGUGGAAACUUCUCUAGGCUUCUUUGUCUUCAGUGUUCUUAUUGCUCUCACUUCAGAUUCCUGCAAGUUUACCACACUGUUUUUGAAACCGAGCCAUAGACAUUUCUCAGAAAUAUGGGAGCCAAAUCCGAGGGCACUUUUUAUUAUCCCCCAUUUAUAUUGAGCAGCCUUUGCCUGGUUUUCAUUGUGAGCUUCUCCGUGUGACUGCAGUGAAAGAGUGUACAGCUCAUGUGGGCUGUGCAAAUUCUUUUCGUUUCAGGAGUAACAGUUCUAGAAGUGACAGCCCUAACCCCUCAUCAUCUUUACUGUCUGACUUUAGACCUAAACACUUUUUUAUUCAGCAGUAUUUCUUCGCUCAUAAAAUAAAUGUGGCUAUCUUCCUCAUGUGGUGGUGAAUAGAAGAAAGAGCAAUUCUACUCAGAGAUAAAUACCGCCUAUCAAGUAUAACCACACAGCAGAGGACUCCGUCUGAGAUUGUGGUUUUAGGGUUCAGGCUAUUUGAAUCCCAUUUGCUUGGUUGACUAAUCUACCUGUUUGAUAAUGCUGGCUAGAGUUUUCUCCAUUUAGAGGAGAGGCAAAAUGAUAAUAGCACAUUAAUACGUUUCUAAUUUCUUUAAAGGUCUCUCCAGCUACUGUGUAGUGAACAGAUUGGGAAGGAAAAGACCAUCAGUGGGGGAGAGCCCGUGAGGCAGCUGCGUAAAGCCAGAUACGAGGGAAGUCGUUCAGCACAAACUCUAAACAAGGCUGCUUUGCCUUCCUUCGAUUCUAACACAUGGCCGGGCGUUGCUUGGGUAAAGUACUUGGUUCUUGACCCUUGCUUCUGAUCUAUAAACUGGAGCAAAUACCAGCACCUGCCUCGUUGAAUUGUCCUGAAUAACAGAGGACACGCACUGCAGUGUCCAGAACAUUUCCUUCCUGGAAGUAAGCAUUGCCUACUUUUUUGCCAGCCACAGAAAGGAUGUAAAGGGGACAGUGUGGCUCGUGGCCCCUAGAGGACAACAGAGGAAUGAUUACAGAAGUGACAGGUGCAUGCUAGCCAUCAAAGAUGUGCUCUCUGAGGAGAAAACGGUGAGGAGAGAGCUGCUACCUGGCAUGCAAAGCGGAAGCUGAGCCAGGAACUAUUGCAUAUCUUGUUCUGGGGAGUCUGCAUAAUGUUGCCCAUAUAGUCAGUGUAAGCAAAGUCAAGGACGUGGGCAAAUGAGCCGACAUGAGGGAGUCAGGCACAGCUGUUCGGACACACUUCUAAGAAGGCAUACGCAGAGGGCUAGCCAGUUGACCUUGGCUAUUGAGCCUGAGGGUUGGGGACUCUGAUUUAUCUGUUUGUGACCUGGGCUUUCUUGAAGCAUGCCAGCUGGGUUACAAGAGUGGAUAUCAAGAUAAGGACAGAUAGAAACCGCAUCACAUUUUGUGGCCCAGCCUCUGACAUCGUAUUUGUCAUAAGCCUGCCCAUUUUGAGGGGCACAGGAUAUAGGCCUCGCUUAUUUUGUGUUUUGUUCAUUUUAUUACAGUUUUCAUCUUGGUGGUUUUUUUUUUCUUUUCUCUGUUUGGUUUGGUCUUAUUUUUUGUUUUGAGUCAGAGUGUCACUAUGCAGCCCAGGCUGGCCCUGAAUUUUUCAGCUCUCUGCCUCGGCCUCCAAAGUGUCAGGAUAUAGACAUAUGUUACCCAUCUCUGACUUUUUUGGGGGGGGUUUGAGACAGGGUUCCUCUGGGUGUAGUCCUAGCUGUCCUGGAACUCACUCUAGUACUAACAGAGAUCCACCUGCCUCUGUUUCCCAAGUGCUGGGAUUAAAGAUGUACUAGCGACCCAUUCCUGACCUGUUGAUGUGAGAGUUUAGGGGAAGGAUUCUGGGGGUGGGAAACAUGGCAUGAGAAAUAUUUUACCCAUUAUUUUUAAGACAAUCAAGCAUCGAGUAAUUUCCAAGAAAUGCUUGCUAGCUCCUGUCUUUGAUUUUCUCACAUAAUGCAUCCAAUCUCACUGCCUCCAUUGUUCCCAAUAGCACCCACUGGGGACGCAGCCAGCCUGGUGCAGCCUGGGUACCAUUCAGGGACCUCCCCUCAGUUGUAGCUGGGAUCAUGGCCAACUCUGCAGGAGAGAUUGCAGGAUGGUCAGUGUGAAGCAACACCAAAUAAUCCAAUUAAAAAGUGGGGUACAGAACUAAAUAGAGAAUUCUCAAUAGAGGAAUAUAAAAUGG
This is a long non-coding RNA of Mesocricetus auratus (golden hamster), 2810 nucleotides long. RefSeq lists it as uncharacterized. The transcript has 5 exons. NCBI's taxonomy places the organism in Eukaryota, Metazoa, Chordata, Mammalia, Rodentia, Cricetidae. The record is from RefSeq and is a predicted model, not a curated record.